Molecule: ribosomal RNA, 274 nt
Filed under: uncultured bacterium
Lineage: Bacteria
Description: partial 16S ribosomal RNA
Rfam family: Bacterial small subunit ribosomal RNA
Source: RNAcentral
AUACGGAGGGUGCAAGCGUUAUUCGGAAUCACUGGGCGUAAAGGACGCGUAGGCGGGUUGGCAAGUCAGAUGUGAAAGCCUACAGCUUAACUGUAGAACUGCAUUUGAAACUGCUAACCUAGAGUAUGGGAGGGGGAGAUGGAAUUAGUUGUGUAGGGGUAAAAUCCGUAGAUAUCACUAGGAAUACCGAAAGCGAAGGCGAUCUCCUGGAACAUAACUGACGCUAAGGCGUGAAAGCGUGGGGAGCAAACAGGAUUAGAAACCCCAGUAGUCC